UAGUGGCGAACGGGUGAGUAACACGUGGGCAAUCUGCCCUUCACUCUGGGACAAGCCCUGGAAACGGGGUCUAAUACCGGAUAAUACUUCUGCCUGCAUGGGNGGGGGUUGAAAGCUCCGGCGGUGAAGGAUGAGCCCGCGGCCUAUCAGCUUGUUGGUGGGGUGAUGGCCUACCAAGGCGACGACGGGUAGCCGGCCUGAGAGGGCGACCGGCCACACUGGGACUGAGACACGGCCCAGACUCCUACGGGAGGCAGCAGUGGGGAAUAUUGCACAAUGGGCGAAAGCCUGAUGCAGCGACGCCGCGUGAGGGAUGACGGCCUUCGGGUUGUAAACCUCUUUCAGCAGGGAAGAAGCGAAAGUGACGGUACCUGCAGAAGAAGCGCCGGCUAACUACGUGCCAGCAGCCGGGGUAAUACGUAGGGCGCAAGCGUUGUCCGGAAUUAUUGGGCGUAAAGAGCUCGUAGGCGGCUUGUCGCGUCGGAUGUGAAAGCCCGGGCCUUAACCCCGGGUCUGCAUUCGAUACGGGCAGGCUAGAGUGUGGUAGGGGAGAUCGNANUCCU
This 563-nucleotide ribosomal RNA is filed under the name Streptomyces sp. 340E09. Its description in RNAcentral is "bacterial SSU rRNA". It matches the Rfam family "Bacterial small subunit ribosomal RNA", at positions 93 to 670 of the family's 1533-position model. The record is from RNAcentral. Lineage: Bacteria; Bacillati; Actinomycetota; Actinomycetes; Kitasatosporales; Streptomycetaceae.